This is a long non-coding RNA of Colias croceus (clouded yellow), 587 nucleotides long. RefSeq lists it as uncharacterized. Lineage: Eukaryota; Metazoa; Arthropoda; Insecta; Lepidoptera; Pieridae. The record is from RefSeq and is a predicted model, not a curated record. The transcript has 2 exons.
CACAGAAAUAUAUCGAGAUAGAAGGAAAGAGUGUAUGUACCUCGCGUGGCGAAAAGACGAUUAAUCAUCGUCUUUGCUCGCCACGAUGCUCAGUCCGCUCUCGACCGCUCUCAGUGUGUGACGUACUAAUGCAAACAGAAAAUGACCCCGUGCUCGAUAAUUAACUGUGCAAACGCCACCAAAAAAGUUAAAGGUGUCAAUAAAAAUAUUUCCUUUCACCUUUUUCCGAAAUAUUCUCUUGUGAAAAAAUAAAUGGAUUGAAGCAACGGGUCGUAAAAACUGGUUUCCUACGAAACACAGGCUGAUUUGUUCCAUACAUUUUCACGAAGAUACGUUUACUGGCCCAUCAAAGUUUCGGCGAAUAAUGUUAAGUGGUUGAGGAGUUCCUUCCCUCUCUAUCAUUAGCUCAGCACCAUGAUACUAGAAUUUUAUAUUGUCACCUGACUUGCACAUGUAUGCAAACUUUCAGCUCAAUAAGUUGAGUAAAACUACUUUAAUAUUCAAUUGCAAGAUUUGAUACAUACAUACAUUCAUAUACACAUGCAUACUAAUGAAGUUUAAGUUAAUAAAAAGCUUGUAAAAAUUAA